Molecule: non-coding RNA, 82 nt
Organism: Mus musculus (house mouse)
Lineage: Eukaryota; Metazoa; Chordata; Mammalia; Rodentia; Muridae
Source: Rfam
GCUUUGAUGGCUCAGUGGUUAAGGUGUUGGACUCAUAAUUCAAUGGGCUCUUCCUUCACAAGUUCAAACCCUGCUCACAGUG